RNAcentral lists this ribosomal RNA (740 nucleotides) under uncultured Fibrobacter sp. Its description in RNAcentral is "bacterial SSU rRNA". It matches the Rfam family "Bacterial small subunit ribosomal RNA", at positions 170 to 914 of the family's 1533-position model. Lineage: Bacteria; Pseudomonadati; Fibrobacterota; Fibrobacteria; Fibrobacterales; Fibrobacteraceae. The record is from RNAcentral.
CCAGGAGAGUGGCCUUCCGCAUGGAAGGUUGACUAGAGAUUUAUCGGUAUGGGAUGAGCUUGCGUCCGAUUAGCUAGUUGGUGGGGCAACGGCCCACCAAGGCGACGAUCGGUAGCCGGCCUGAGAGGGUGAUCGGCCACAUUGGGACUGAGAUACGGCCCAGACUCCUACGGGAGGCAGCAGUAGGGAAUAUUGCACAAUGGGGGAAACCCUGAUGCAGCAACGCCACGUGUGGGAAGAAGCAUUUCGGUGUGUAAACCACUGUCAUGAGGGAAUAAGGCCCGCCUCCGGGCGGGAUUGAAUGUACCUUGAGAGGAAGCACCGGCAAACUUCGUGCCAGCAGCCGCGGUAAUACGAGGGGUGCAAGCGUUGUUCGGAAUUACUGGGCGUAAAGGGAGCGUAGGCGGAGAUUCAAGCGGAUUGUACAAUCCCGGGGCCCAACCCCGGUUCUGCAGUCCGAACUGGAUCUCUUGGAUAGUUCAGGGGCAGGCGGAAUUCCUGGUGUAGCGGUGGAAUGCGUAGAGAUCAGGAAGAACACCGAUGGCGAAGGCAGCCUGCUGGGGACUUAUCGACGCUCAUGCUCGAAAGUGCGGGUAGCAAACAGGAUUAGAUACCCUGGUAGUCCGCACCGUAAACAAUGCAUACUGGGUGUCCGGGGGUUCCCCCGGGUACCGUAGCCAACGCGUUAAGUAUGCCGCCUGGGGAGUACGUACGCAAGUAUGAAACUCAAAGGAAUUGUC